Molecule: ribosomal RNA, 1444 nt
Filed under: metagenome
Description: bacterial SSU rRNA
Rfam family: Archaeal small subunit ribosomal RNA
Source: RNAcentral
GCUGAUCCUGCUGGCGGAUACUGCUAUUGAAAUCCGAUUUAGACAUGCAAGUCUCAAAGACGUAUACGGCGUCUUUGGCGAACGGCUCAGUAACACGUGGGUAAUCUACCUUUGGGACGGGUUAAUCCCGGGAAACUGGGGAUAAUGCCCGAUAGGCAAUUGCUACUGGAAGGUGCUUUUGCUCAAACACUACCACACCAUGUGGUCCGUGCCCAAGGAUGAGCCUGCGGCGGAUUAGGUUGUUGGCGGGGUAAAUGCCCACCAAGCCUUUGAUCCGUACGGGCCCUGAGAGGGGUAGCCCGGAGAAGGACACUGAGACAAGGGUCCUAGCCCUACGGGGUGCAGCAGUCGCGAAACCUUUACAAUGCGCGCAAGCGCGAUAGGGGGAUUUCAAGUGCACUCUCUGAGUGCUUUUGCCAAACCUAAAUAGUUUGGCGAAUAAGUGGGGGGCAAGAUACGUGCCAGCCGCCGCGGUAACACGUACUCCGCAAGUGGUAUCCACUAAUAUUGGGCCUAAAACGUCUGUAGCCGGUUUAAUAAGUCUUUGGUGAAAUCAUUGCGCUUAACGUAAUGAAUUGCCAAAGAAACUGUUUGACUCGAGGCCGGGAGACGCCAAGGGAAUUUUUGGGGUAACGGUGAAAUGUUAUGAUCCUGAAAAGACCACCAGUAGCGAAGGCGCUUGGCGAGAACGGACCUGACGGUGAGAGACGAAAGCUGGGGGAGCGACCCGGAUUAGAUACCCGGUUAGUCCCAGCCGUAAACGAUGUGGACUAGGUGUACUGUCACCCACGUGGUGCUAGUGUGCCGAAGGGAAGCCAUUAAGUCCACUGCCAGGGAAGUACGCCCGCAAGGGUGAAACUUAAUGGAAUUGACGGGGGCGCACUACAAGGGGUGGAUGCUGCGGUUUAAUUGGAUAAAACCCCAGAUAAUCUUACCAGGGCCGACAGCAGAAUGAUGGACAGUCUGAAGGGCUUUCCUGACGCGCUGAGAGGUGUUGUAUGGUCAUCGUCAGCUCGUACUAUGAAGCGUCCUGUCAACUCAGGCAACGGGCGAGACCCAUGUCACUAGUUGCUACUUUCUCUUUUGAGAGGGGCACUCUAGUGAGACUGCAGUAGCAAUAUUGAGGAAGGAGUGGGCGACGGUAGAUCUGUAUGGCCCGAAUGCCCUGGGCAACACGCGGCAUACAAUGGUUGAGACAAUGGGUUCCGACUCUAAAAAGAGAAGGUAAUCUCCUAAACUUAACCUCAGUUCGGAUCGAGGGUUGUAACCUACCCUCGUGAAAUUGGAAUCCCCAGUAACCGCGCUUCAUUAUAGCGCGGUGAAUAAGUCCCUGCGCCUUGCACACACCGCCCAUCAAGCCAGUCGAGUAGAGCUUGGAUGAGUUAUUUUCGUUAGAGAAUCACGAUUCUGAGUUCCGCGAGACGGGCUAAGUUGUAACAAGGUG